UCCGAGUUGUCCCCGGCAGUCCUCUUAGAGUCCCCAGCAUUACCUGAUGGCAACUAAGAGCAGGGGUUGCGCUCGUUGCGGCACUUAAGCCAACACCUCACGGCACGAGCUGACGACAACCAUGCACCACCUGUGAAGAUCCAGCCGAACUGACCCCGUGUUUCCACGGCGGUCACCCACAUGUCAAGCCCAGGUAAGGUUCUUCGCGUCGCGUCGAAUUAAACCACAUGCUCCGCUGCUUGUGCGGGCCCCCGUCAAUUCCUUUGAGUUUUAGCCUUGCGGCCGUACUCCCCAGGCGGGGCACUUAAUGCGUUAGCUCCGGCACGGGGGGAGUCGACACCCCCCACACCUAGUGCCCAUCGUUUACAGCGUGGACUAC
This 379-nucleotide unclassified non-coding RNA is filed under the name uncultured Actinomycetes bacterium. RNAcentral's name for it is "uncultured actinobacterium contains 16S-23S intergenic spacer region". Lineage: Bacteria; Bacillati; Actinomycetota; Actinomycetes. The record is from RNAcentral.